This 855-nucleotide ribosomal RNA is filed under the name Escherichia coli. Its description in RNAcentral is "partial 23S ribosomal RNA". It matches the Rfam family "Bacterial large subunit ribosomal RNA", at positions 660 to 1517 of the family's 2925-position model. The record is from RNAcentral. Lineage: Bacteria; Pseudomonadati; Pseudomonadota; Gammaproteobacteria; Enterobacterales; Enterobacteriaceae.
GGGGAGCCGAAGGGAAACCGAGUCUUAACUGGGCGUUAAGUUGCAGGGUAUAGACCCGAAACCCGGUGAUCUAGCCAUGGGCAGGUUGAAGGUUGGGUAACACUAACUGGAGGACCGAACCGACUAAUGUUGAAAAAUUAGCGGAUGACUUGUGGCUGGGGGUGAAAGGCCAAUCAAACCGGGAGAUAGCUGGUUCUCCCCGAAAGCUAUUUAGGUAGCGCCUCGUGAAUUCAUCUCCGGGGGUAGAGCACUGUUUCGGCAAGGGGGUCAUCCCGACUUACCAACCCGAUGCAAACUGCGAAUACCGGAGAAUGUUAUCACGGGAGACACACGGCGGGUGCUAACGUCCGUCGUGAAGAGGGAAACAACCCAGACCGCCAGCUAAGGUCCCAAAGUCAUGGUUAAGUGGGAAACGAUGUGGGAAGGCCCAGACAGCCAGGAUGUUGGCUUAGAAGCAGCCAUCAUUUAAAGAAAGCGUAAUAGCUCACUGGUCGAGUCGGCCUGCGCGGAAGAUGUAACGGGGCUAAACCAUGCACCGAAGCUGCGGCAGCGACACUAUGUGUUGUUGGGUAGGGGAGCGUUCUGUAAGCCUGUGAAGGUGUACUGUGAGGUAUGCUGGAGGUAUCAGAAGUGCGAAUGCUGACAUAAGUAACGAUAAAGCGGGUGAAAAGCCCGCUCGCCGGAAGACCAAGGGUUCCUGUCCAACGUUAAUCGGGGCAGGGUGAGUCGACCCCUAAGGCGAGGCCGAAAGGCGUAGUCGAUGGGAAACAGGUUAAUAUUCCUGUACUUGGUGUUACUGCGAAGGGGGGACGGAGAAGGCUAUGUUGGCCGGGCGACGGUUGUCCCGGUUUAAGC